RNAcentral lists this ribosomal RNA (509 nucleotides) under uncultured bacterium. RNAcentral's name for it is "bacterial SSU rRNA". It matches the Rfam family "Bacterial small subunit ribosomal RNA", at positions 29 to 514 of the family's 1533-position model. The record is from RNAcentral.
AGCGAACGUUAGCGGCGGGCCUAACACAUGCAAGUCGAACGCGAAAGGUCUUCGGACUGAGUAGAGUGGCGCACGGGUGAGUAACACGUAGGUAAUCUACCCUUUGGCGGGGGAUAACGUUCCGAAAGGAGCGCUAAUACCGCAUAAGACCACGGAGUCUCCGGACGCUGUGGGAAAAGGUGGCCUCUUCUUGAAAGCUACCACCGAAGGAUGAGCCUGCGUCCCAUCAGCUAGUUGGUAAGGUAAUGGCUUACCAAGGCGAAGACGGGUAGCUGGUUUGAGAGAAUGAUCAGCCACACUGGCACUGGAACACGGGCCAGACUCCUACGGGAGGCAGCAGUGAGGGAAUAUUGGGCAAUGGGCGAAAGCCUGACCCAGCCACGCCGCGUGAGUGAUGAAGGCCCUCGGGUCGUAAAGCUCUGUGGAGAGGGACGAAAACCCUGGUUUCAAAUAGGCUCCAGGCUUGACGGUACCUCUUUAGCAAGCACCGGCUAACUCUGUGCCAGCAG